GGUAGCAGCGGCGGGGGUCGAAGACGAACCAGCGGCUGCGGAAAUUCCGCAGCGGGCCCUUGCCCGACAGCUUCUGCAGAUAUAAUCCAGAUGUGAACUGAUAAACGAUAGCUGCAUCUUUCAACAUUAUUAUUGUGUUUGCAAUGUAGCAUAUAGGAGAAAGACCAAAUGGAAAAUGAGAAAGGAAGAGACAUGGACACAAACCAACAUUUCUGCAUAUAUUUUUGUGCAAUUUUUUAUAUUCUACAUUGGUGGGAAACAGAAAAGAUCCCAAAAGUUUCACUGACUGCCAUCUAUGAAGAACUGGUUUAUAGAUGAAGAAAUAAGGUGUUUUUUUUUAAUUUGUACGCUCCUUGAUUAGACACAACAGUGUGAAAUAAACAAAAAUAAUUUCUCUUUGUACUCCCUAUGGCCUUGACCUUACAGUCAAAUCCAUGUAAGCAGAUCCUUGCAGAACCCCACUGACUACAACAGGUUUCUGCACAAGUGCAAGGAACUGCCUGGAUCUGAUUGCAGGGUGGGGACCUAUGUCUGCAAAAUCCAUGUCCUGCUAGAUGCAUAGAUCUCUAUAAUUCUUCUUGUAUAUUCAUACCAAUAAACGUUUUAAAAACUAUCCAGACAGAAGGGGAUGAAAUGUAAGUAAGAGGGUUACCAAUUUAGUAAUGAUGAAUUUUCAAAGUAUUAAUCAUGGCUUUGGUUAAGUGCUGAAAACUUGGAACACUUAACUGAACCUCUUUGGUCUAGAAAUCAGCCUGGGAAUCUCUCAAGAACUGCUUUUCUCAGUAGAUGUUCAGAACAUUCUUUUGGGGGGAUAGAUUAGUCAUAUCUUCUUGUGAACAAGGAGGAAACCAAAAUGGCUUCUGUUCAGAAUAGUCUCUUGUAGUAUGUAUUUCCACUUCUGAUACAGGUUAAAAUUGAGAUGUAUAGAAACAUAGAAAUUAAAAAAGAAAAGUUUACUUUUUUUUUUCCAAAUGCCAGAGGUUUAGUUCAGUUCUUCUCAAUUGUUAGCCAAAGUUUGCCUCAAACCUCCCCUACAGUUUUCUCUGGGCAAAAUUCUGCUGUCCUUCCACACAGCAGAUAUCAUCUUUGAAGAGAGGAGAAAUUCUCUUAUGGGUAAAGUACAGAUCUGAGAGUCAGGUUAUCUGGGUUCUGUAUACGUCACUGGUUCACUGUGACCUUGCAAAGGUCAUUGAGUAUCUUUUUGUUUCCUUGUGUGAAGUGGGGAUAAUGCUUCCUCAUGUUGAGGUCUUUAGA
Molecule: long non-coding RNA, 1254 nt
Organism: Caretta caretta (loggerhead turtle)
Lineage: Eukaryota; Metazoa; Chordata; Testudines; Cheloniidae
Source: RefSeq, a predicted model, not a curated record